AUGCUUCGGAGCUUGCCGCGCUCCUCCAGCCGCUCCAGCAGGUCCCGGGCGCCGGCGACCUCCAUGUCCGACAGCUUCUUCAGGUACCCGAUGGCGCCGUGCGAGACCAUCGGCUUCUUGCACCGCUUCGCCGGCGACAGCGUCGCCAGGCACGCGAUGGCGUACUUCUUCGCCGUGUUCGCCGGGCUGGGGUCCAGCAGCUGCACCAGGCUCGGCACGCUCCUCUCGUCCCGCCGCACCUCCCGCGCGUUGCCCGGGUGCCCCGCCGCCAGGCUCGCCACCGCCUGCGCCGCCACCUCGCGCGCGCCGGCCGACUUAGCCUCCAGCAUCCGGACAAGUAGUGGGAUGCACCCGUGCUCGCCCACCAUCCGCUUCAUGUCCUUGCUGCCGCUGGCCGCGAUCCUGCAGAUCGCCGCGGGACACGAUGGUGUCGGGGGAGAUGGCGUCCACCAUGUUCCCGAGCGCGCGCACCGCGGACUCCUGCGGCGACGGCGCGUCCAGGUAGAGGAGCAGGCUGCGCAGCCCGCCGUCGUGCGCGACGGCGCGCCGGAAGCUGUCGCCGCCCGACGUGAGGUUCUGCAAGCAGUCGGCGGCGUGCUCCUUGGAGCCCAGCACGGUGCCGUAGUCCAGCAGACUGACCAUGACGCGGACGAUCCCUUCGUCGGCCAGCGCUUGCCGCGCCUCGGGCGCCGCGGAGAGGUUCUUGAGCGCGCCGGCCGCCGCGGACUGGGACACGGAGUCCCCCGUCUGGCAGAUCUCGAUGAGCGGGCGCACGCCGCCGUGGCCGGCGAUGGCGCGCGCGACGUCGGGGGACGCGGAGAGGCGCUGCAGCGUGAGGACGGCCUUCUCGCGGCCGACGAGGCUGCUGCCGGACUCUGCCAGCCGGAUGAGCGGCGGCAGCGCGCCCUCCGACACGAGCAGCCCCUCGCAGGCGCCACCCCCCGACUCGGCGAGCCGGCAUAUCACCAUGGCGGCCUUCUCCCGCGCCUUGGGCGCCGGCGCCGUGAGCAGCUGCACCAGCGCGGACACGUUGGCGCGGCCGAGCAGCGACACCACGCUCUUCUCGUCCCGGUUGAGCGCGUCGAGCAGCCCGUCCACCGCGCGGCUCUUGGCCUCGGCGUGCCCGAUCUGCAGCCGCGCGAGCAGCUCCCGCACGUCCGCCUGCGCCGUCGCCGGGGCGGUGACGGCGGAGGCGUCGGAGUCGGACAGCACGCCGGUGCGGACGAGCAGCGCGCAGUCCCGGAGGUUGACGUCGAGCCGGGCGCCGAGCGCGUCGAUGGCGCUCUGCGUCUGCAGCUUCCCGUCCCUCGGCGGGCCCCGGCACCGCGAAGCAAGCUCCGCCGCAUCGGCGAGCGUGGCGGCCACGGAGUGCAGCAGCUCGCGGCAGAGCGCGUUCCGGGCGAAGCAGGGGUGGCUGGACAGGUCGGACAGGCGCGCGGGGAGCGUGCCCAGCUUGGCCGCGAUCGCCUUCCACCGGCCGGGGAACCCCUCCGCGGCCGUCGCCGCGCCGACCGCCGGCGGCACCAUCCCCCUGACGCGCGCCAGCAGCUCCUCCGCCGUCUCAACCCCGGGAGCAGCGGCCGCCGGGUCGCCCCGCACACUCAUGCCUGGUCGCCUGGAGAGUGGAGGCCCGUGAUCUGGAGUGGCCGAGGAGAACGGUCGUCGUCGCUAGCUGGCCUGACUGGCUCGUCAAGGCUGUGGUGA
This 1704-nucleotide ribosomal RNA is filed under the name Triticum aestivum (bread wheat). RNAcentral describes it as "partial small subunit ribosomal RNA". Lineage: Eukaryota; Viridiplantae; Streptophyta; Magnoliopsida; Poales; Poaceae. The record is from RNAcentral.